AGAGUAGAAGUACGAGGACGCUUCCUUCGGGAAGCGAGCGUACACAGGUGCUGCAUGGCUGCCGUCAGCUCGUGUCGUGAGAUGUUGGGUUAAGUCCGUAACGAGCGCAACCCUUGUCCUUAGUUACCAGCACGUUAUGGUGGGCACUCUAAGGAGACUGCCGGUGACAAACCGGAGGAAGGUGGGGAUGACGUCAAGUCAUCAUGGCCCUUACGGCCUGGGCUACACACGUGCUACAAUGGUCGGUACAAAGGGUUGCCAAGCCGCGAGGUGGAGCUAAUCCCAUAAAACCGAUCGUAGUCCGGAUCGCAGUCUGCAACUCGACUGCGUGAAGUCGGAAUCGCUAGUAAUCGUGAAUCAGAAUGUCACGGUGAAUACGUUCCCGGGCCUU
This 391-nucleotide ribosomal RNA is filed under the name uncultured Pseudomonas sp. Its description in RNAcentral is "bacterial SSU rRNA". It matches the Rfam family "Bacterial small subunit ribosomal RNA", at positions 997 to 1382 of the family's 1533-position model. Lineage: Bacteria; Pseudomonadati; Pseudomonadota; Gammaproteobacteria; Pseudomonadales; Pseudomonadaceae. The record is from RNAcentral.